AGAGUUUGAUCAUGGCUCAGAUUGAACGCUGGCGGCAUGCCUAACACAUGCAAGUCGAACGGCAGUGCGGGGGCAACCCUGGCGGCGAGUGGCGGACGGGUGAGGAAUGCAUCGGAAUCUGCCUGGUUGUGGGGGAUAACGUAGGGAAACUUACGCUAAUACCGCAUACGACCUACGGGUGAAAGUGGGGGACCGCAAGGCCUCACGCGAUCAGAGGAGCCGAUGUCGGAUUAGCUAGUUGGCGGGGUAAAGGCCCACCAAGGCGACGAUCCGUAGCUGGUCUGAGAGGAUGAUCAGCCACACUGGAACUGAGACACGGUCCAGACUCCUACGGGAGGCAGCAGUGGGGAAUAUUGGACAAUGGGCGCAAGCCUGAUCCAGCAAUGCCGCGUGUGUGAAGAAGGCCUUCGGGUUGUAAAGCACUUUUGUACGGGAAGAAAAGUCCGGGGUGAAUAUCCUCGGAUCAUGACGGUACCGUAAGAAUAAGCACCGGCUAACUUCGUGCCAGCAGCCGCGGUAAUACGUAGGGUGCGAGCGUUAAUCGGAAUUACUGGGCGUAAAGCGUGCGCAGGCGGUUUUGUAAGUCAGAUGUGAAAUCCCCGGGCUCAACCUGGGAACUGCGUUUGAAACUACAAGGCUAGAGUGUAGCAGAGGGGGGUAGAAUUCCACGUGUAGCAGUGAAAUGCGUAGAGAUGUGGAG
RNAcentral lists this ribosomal RNA (700 nucleotides) under uncultured bacterium. RNAcentral's name for it is "bacterial SSU rRNA". It matches the Rfam family "Bacterial small subunit ribosomal RNA", at positions 8 to 703 of the family's 1533-position model. The record is from RNAcentral.